RNAcentral lists this ribosomal RNA (253 nucleotides) under uncultured bacterium. RNAcentral describes it as "partial 16S ribosomal RNA". It matches the Rfam family "Bacterial small subunit ribosomal RNA", at positions 524 to 776 of the family's 1533-position model. The record is from RNAcentral.
UACGUAGGGUGCGAGCGUUAAUCGGAAUUACUGGGCGUAAAGCGUGCGCAGGCGGUUCGUUAAGUCAGAUGUGAAAGCCCCGGGCUCAACCUGGGAACUGCAUUUGAAACUGGCGGGCUUGAGUAUGGCAGAGGGGGGUGGAAUUCCGCGUGUAGCAGUGAAAUGCGUAGAGAUGCGGAGGAACACCGAUGGCGAAGGCAGCCCCCUGGGCCAAUACUGACACUCAGGCACGAAAGCGUGGGGAGCAAACAGG